AGAACGUCGUGAGACAGUUCGGUCCCUAUCCGUCGUGGGCGUAGGAAAUUUGAGAGGAGCUGUCCUUAGUACGAGAGGACCGGGAUGGACAUACCUCUGGUGUACCAGUUGUCGUGCCAACGGCAUAGCUGGGUAGCUAUGUGUGGACGGGAUAAGUGCUGAAAGCAUCUAAGCAUGAAGCCCCCCUCAAGAUGAGAUUUCCCAACUUCGGUUAUAAGAUCCCUCAAAGAUGAUGAGGUUAAUAGGUUCGAGGUGGAAGCAUGGUGACAUGUGGAGCUGACGAAUACUAAUCGAUCGAAGACUUAAUCAA
Molecule: ribosomal RNA, 310 nt
Filed under: Staphylococcus aureus
Lineage: Bacteria; Bacillati; Bacillota; Bacilli; Caryophanales; Staphylococcaceae
Description: partial 23S ribosomal RNA
Rfam family: Bacterial large subunit ribosomal RNA
Source: RNAcentral